CGAUUUCAUCAGCCCUGUUCUGGUGCGGAACCUCAGCCUCAAGGUUUCCUUCGGCAAUCUUGUCGGCAGUGUUGCUCAGCUCGAUUAUGGGUCUCGUAAUGGUCGAGGUUGUGAACACCGCCAGAACG
Molecule: small RNA, 128 nt
Filed under: Archaeoglobus fulgidus
Lineage: Archaea; Methanobacteriati; Methanobacteriota; Archaeoglobi; Archaeoglobales; Archaeoglobaceae
Source: RNAcentral